CUACGUGCCAGCAGCCGCGGUAAUACGGGGGGUGCGAGCGUUAAUCGGAAUAACUGGGCGUAAAGGGCACGCAGGCGGUGACUUAAGUGAGAUGUGAAAGCCCCGAGCUUAACUUGGGAAUUGCAUUUCAUACUGGGUCGCUAGAGUACUUUAGGGAGGGGUAGAAUUCCACGUGUAGCGGUGAAAUGCGUAGAGAUGUGGAGGAAUACCGAAGGCGAAGGCAGCCCCUUGGGAAUGUACUGACGCUCAUGUGCGAAAGCGUGGGGAGCAAACAGGAUUAGAUACCCUGGUAGUCCACGCUGUAAACGCUGUCGAUUUGGGGAUUGGGCUUUAAGCUUGGUGCCCGUAGCUAACGUGAUAAAUCGACCGCCUGGGGAGUACGGCCGCAAGGUUAAAACUCAAAUGAAUUGACGGGGGCCCGCACAAGCGGUGGAGCAUGUGGUUUAAUUCGAUGCAACGCGAAGAACCUUACCUACUCUUGACAUCCAUGGAAUCCUGUAGAGAUACGGGAGUGCUUCGGGA
Molecule: ribosomal RNA, 522 nt
Filed under: uncultured bacterium
Lineage: Bacteria
Description: bacterial SSU rRNA
Rfam family: Bacterial small subunit ribosomal RNA
Source: RNAcentral